AGCGGUUACCGUGGGCACGAUAACUGGUCUUGGUGGUUGGUACUCGAGACCCAAGUUGAUUCACAUUUCCAACUAGGUUUAUUUCUAAAUGAAAUAAACGAAGCAGGUAGCGUACUAUCUAUCUCUCUUAAAAAAAAAAAAGCCUGAAUCGGUGUACGAACAUAUGCGACUGCAUUCGGUUAAAUCGAAUCGGGUACGCCCAUAAGCGGGUUCGAUCCGACGGAUGUUAUGUUAUCUAAUUGGAUUGGAAUUAAUUUCGCUUUCAAAUUGGAAAGUUAGUUAGAGAUAAAUCCUAGUCAUAUUAGGAUAGCAAUUAAUAACCGAUUUAGCCUUAUCUCUAACGCUAUUAGAAUUUUGGAAUCCCUUAUAAAUAUGCGGGCGAUCCCACAUAACAAAAAGGUACAAGAACGGAAAAAGAAAAGAGAAUAAGAAAAACGAAAGAGAGAAACCACAUCCUCCAUUAACCUAUUAUUCUAAGAGGGACUUGAACGGUGGAUUUGUGAUCGUGCUCGUUUGUAGUUCGAUCCAUCGCGAGUUUGGAACGCGAGAAGAUUUAAUCAAGGACGAUCAAAGGAUACGUGAAUUAACCUCGACGAUCCGGGCUCAUCGAGUUGUAACGCGAAUCGCUUCCGCAAAAAGGUACGAACGAAUACUUCCGUUGCGUUCUACAUUGGUCAGAGCAGGUUCAUCAGCUGGACAUGUGUGGCGAGUCUCGGCUGAGCCAGGGUCUGGAUGACGGGCUAGCGAGACGAGUGUCACAUCGCCUGGUGAUCUUGGGCUGUAUGAUUGGACUGACGAGGACGUCAGGGCUUUAACGGGGGAAGUCUGUGACACCCCCAAUAAUCCCACAUCGGAUGGGGUUGUCAUUGUGUUUAUAAUAGACUUAAACACUAGUAAUAAUAACUGGGCUUAAGCAUUUUGGGCCGGUAUUUGGGCCCAACAAGUUAUUGUUGCUAGUGGGCUGGGUCGUUACAUUUGGUAUCAGAGCCGGUUCACCAGCUGGACAUGUGUGGCGAGUCUCGGCUGAGCCAGGGUCUGGAUGACGGGCUAGCGAGACGAGUCUCACAUCGCCUGGUGAUCUUGGGCUGUGUGAUUGGACUGACGAGGAUGUCAGGGCUUUAACGGGGGGAGUCUGUGAUACCCCAAUAAUCCCACAUCAGAUGGGGUUGUCAAGCAUAGUCAAUUAAUAAAAUAGAUAAAAAUCUUUUGGCAUAAUGUAAAUUUUUUAUGCAUGUCUUAUCAAGUGAAAAUUUUAUUUUUUGGUAGAGCAAAUUAUAUGUUUUUACUCCCAUAUA
RNAcentral lists this long non-coding RNA (1295 nucleotides) under Ananas comosus (pineapple). RNAcentral's name for it is "long non-coding RNA (ACOM_LNC001907)". The record is from RNAcentral. Lineage: Eukaryota; Viridiplantae; Streptophyta; Magnoliopsida; Poales; Bromeliaceae.